This is an RNA transcript of Bicyclus anynana (squinting bush brown), 33096 nucleotides long. RefSeq lists it as uncharacterized. The transcript is spliced from 6 exons. NCBI's taxonomy places the organism in Eukaryota, Metazoa, Arthropoda, Insecta, Lepidoptera, Nymphalidae. The record is from RefSeq and is a predicted model, not a curated record.
CUUGAGAUUGUGUAAGUUAAUUAGGUACAUUUUUAUGUUUUAAACAUUUGCAAUUCCAAUUUACUUAAGCUAUUUACUAGUUGACCCAGUAAAUGUUGUUCUGUAUGAGUUUCAUUCGUACAAAAACUCUGAAAUCGCGAUUAAAAAGUUAGUUAAGUGUAGGAGAGUGUACAUGUAUAAAAUACUACGUACGAUCUCAUGCCAAAAAUCCAAAAAAAUAUAUUAAAAUCGGUAGAAACGCUUCGUGGGAGAGUGACUUCAAACGCUGUAACACAAGAUUUUUAUAUAUAUUACAUACUCAAGUUAACCAUUUAUAGCUCAAAAACGAUGGGACUGGUUUUUAUGUUCUUCGAGUUGUUGAAUAUUCGCUCUAAAUAGCGGAAUAACAAUUAAAUCAUUGGUAAUCAAGAAACAGAAAUAAUAACGAUUAUAUUUUUUUCAUAUUUAACAUCGUUCUUCUCAAUAAGUUUUCUUUAUGAUUGCGUAGCUUUUCGGAUUGGACAACGUAUUUCUUUUUGUAAUUGUUGGCAAAUGAGUGUAAUCCCACUUCUGAUUUUAGCAGAGUGCUAUUACAUAAGCUUACAUUAAGUAAAAGGUGCGCUGGUUGAAAAGACGUGGUAAAACGGUAAUGAUGCAAUGCGAAACAUAAACUCGUAGGUGGGAAUGAAAGUUUUUGCUGCGAUCCCAAAAAAAAUAUCGUGGGUUAGCUUAAACAGCUCUUCAGGAUUGUACCCUUGGCGGUCGGGUACAGUAAUAAGUAUUUAAUUACUGAGUUAACUUUGUUUUUCAGAAUUGAAAGUUCUAAAGUUACAAAAUGGCAGAACGCUGAUCAUGUACGAAGGGCAUACCUACUCGUAUAACGGCUACAAGGGUUAUGGUCAUCUUUACUGCUCAAAGUACAAGCGUGCUAAAUGUCCAGCUCGUAUGAAAAUGACUAAAAAUGGCACGCUUUUGAUAUUAGAGUCGAAACAUAACCACUUGUUGCCAGUCCUACAAAAGUGUUCAGAUGGCACGUAUGCUAAGAUUGCUUGAGAUUGUGGAGCAUCUUAAACAUUCGUUAUUUUUUGAUAUUCACAUUGAUUAACAAUUGUGUAUUUACAUUUAGUUUUUAUUAAAUUUAACAUGAUUGACUCAUAUCACCUGAUAGUAAGUGACUAUACAGUCUAAUUUUACCCAUAACAAUGGUAAUUCGGCUAAGAUUUCUUAACAUUGUGUAGCUAAUACUUUCGUGCGUGUAUAAAAUGUUGUACGCCGUUUGUGUGCAAGUAUGAAUUACUUAAAAUUGUUUUUUUUUUAACUUGCUGUUAGCUAGGUACUUAUUAUAAGUACCUAUGGAAUAUAUUUAUUUCACCGUGCUUUUCGCAAAUCGAAUCUUUAACGUAUUCGAAAGCUAUCGUCAUUAUCAUUAUCAAAAAUCUUAAUAUGACCGCCACCUUCAAACUGAUUUUUUUUUCACUUUUUGGUUGUGUGGGUAUUUUUUCAUGCUUUAGAAGUUGGUUAAAUUUAUAAUUUGUUUUUGUUUAUUAUAUGAUUUACUACUAUUAAAUACAAUUAUGAUCUAAUCCAAUAAAAUCUUUUUUGUAUUUAAAUUUUUUUUUUUAUGAUUGCGUACCAUCAAGUACCGGACAGCAUAACGUUAUUUUUUAUAUAAAUUACAAGCAAACUGGCAAGCUGGCAGGUCUGGUACUGGUGAUAUAAUUAGUAGGUAGGUAGGUAAAUUUGAAAAAAAUGCGUCAUUUUUAAAUUAAGUUUCAUAAGAAAUCUUUAAUUUUUCAUGUUUUAGAAGUUGGUUAAAUUUAUAAUUUGUUUUUGUUUAUUAUAUGAUUUACUACUAUUAAAUACAAUUAUGAUCUAAUCCAAUAAAAUCUUUUUUGUAUUUAAUUUUUUUUUUAUGAUUGCGUACCAUCAAGUACCGGACAGCAUAACGUUAUUUUUUAUAUAAAUUACAAGCAAACUGGCAAGCUGGCAGGUCUGGUACUGGUGAUAUAAUUAGUAGGUAGGUAGGUAAAUUUGAAAAAAAGUACAUAAGAAAUCUUUAAUUUUUAAUACAUAUUAAUCGAUAUAUUUCGGACUCUUAUUCCAUGUACUAUGCGUAAAUAUUGAUUUUUUAAGUGUUUAAUUGGAUUUAAUCAUUAGGUACACUGAGGAACGCUCUCCUGUGUGAUAUGUAUAAUAGAAUUUGAAUUAUUUACCUUAAUUUUUGCAGAUCAUAUAGAGUAUAUACCGAGCAGACGUGGAAACGGCCUACUGAUAAUUUACAAAGGGCAUUCAUAUUAUAAAGUGUAUGAGAAUAUGUGGUAUUGUUCUAAAAGAAAGAUGGGAUGUAAAGCUAAAUUGCAUACUACAAGUGACGGAAUGUUGUGCAGAGCGUAUGGUGAUCAUGAUCACCCGGCACCUUCGAUAUACAGGGAAGAUUAUGCUUCCCGUGCACGUUCCAGUUUCUUCGAAUAUUAUACCCAGUACAGAAGAAGGAACAAGGCUCGAUUUGAUAGAAAAAAUGAAAAGCAAGAAGAUAUGGAAGAAUCUGAUCCAGCUAACCGAGUCAGCGAUAUUCUUUCUUCUAUUACACGCUAGUCCGAGAAUAUAUUAGGCGUUUACAACUUCUCAAGUCUCAAAAGGGCUAAAUAAAUAAACUAUAAGACUUAGUAUGUAAGAUAUAUAGAUACAUAAAUUGUUCAUUUCUUUUAAAUGAUUAUUACCAUCAAACAAACACUUACUAAUCUUUUGUCUGUCAAAGGACAACAGGCAGAAAAAUGUGAAUCUAUACCCAUACCGUACAGAUAUAAAAUGGAGGAAAUAGAUAGAUAAAGGACUCUAGUUUACAAUAAUAAGUGUCGCAUUAUUGUGGGGAUUGUCACAUUUUCCAGUUGUGGAAUCGAACCCACGACCUUGAAUGCAGAAGUCAGGGAUGCUACCCACUGCGCCACUUGGUCAUUAAACAAUAGUCACCGUUAUUAUUCAAUUCAUAAAAGUAAAGUUGUGCCUUGUAUUAGCAUCGGCUUUUUUAAUUUAUCUCUCAAGUUUUUAUUCCCACAGUAUAAAAAUAAUUACCUACAUAAAAUUAAAAGUCGGAUUCAUGGUAAUAAUUCAAAUCUAAUUUUGUUAUUGUAAGCCCUCAUUCGCACGAGUCUUUUUUAACGGAUGUUAAAAAAGCGUUCAAAUAUAAUAUGAUAUUAAAUAAAGUUCGAUUUCCAUCGCCCAAAAUUGAAAAUGCAACUCUGCUCGAAAAAAAACGUCUUGUUUUGAAAACGCUGUCGCGUGAACAUAAACUUAGAAAUGCAUUUGUUGUAUUCAUACGCAUAUAUAACGUCCGUUAAUAAUCUCUCGUGUGAAUGAGGGCUAAGAGAUUUUUUAUAAAUUAGAUCAGACUGUGCCCGUUGUCCUUUAAAUAAUCUAUUUAAUAAGGGUCUAAUGUUCCAUUUGAAGGUGGUAAUGGAUUAUCGCUGCUGUGUCAAGGCUAACUUACAGAGGAAGACUUUAUAGAGGAAGAAAGAGAGAGUCUUCUUGUUUAACUUAGGUUUAUUAUUGACGUGUUUGAGUAUUAUUUUUGAAAGAGCCUCUGAUUUAAAACAUGCUCAUAUGCAUUACAUUUUCUGCUUUCCAAUGUUGGUAACGGUGAGAAUUAAAUUUAUUAUUUUUGUUACAUUUUUUUUCAUAAGAAUUCGUUUUUGUAUUUUCUAAACAUUUUUUGAUGAUAAUGUUCGCUGAGAUGUCUUUUUCCUCGCAUUUAUAAUUUUUCAAGUGCUCAACUAGUAUACCUAAGUAAAAAAUGCACGUAGAAACAAUUAAUAAAUAUUCUCACUGAUUAUUAUCUGCUUUUUAUAUAACCUUAAUAUUGUGUUUUUUACACUAAACUUUAGACUACACUUCAAAUCACCUCCAAGAAUGCACGUUUUUACCGUGACAAAAAGUUCGCACUUUAAUUUGAGUGCCAGUAAUCAAAGCUCACGGCUUUUUAAUACUUAUAUUACAAAGAGGUAAAGUCUGUGGUAUUGUAGGGGUAAUCCUGGCUAUUGGGAGGCUUCGGCCGUGGCUAGUUACCACCCUACCGGCAAAGACGUACCGCCAAGCGAUUUAGCGUUCCAAUACGAUGCCGUGUAGAAACCGAAAGGGGUGUGGAUUUUCAUCCUCCUCCUAACAAGUUAGCCCGCUUCCAUCUUAGACUGCAUCAUCACUUACCAUCAGGUGAGAUUGUAGUCCAGGGCUAACUUAUAAAGAAUAAAAAAAAAAAAUCUCUUGAUCUACUGAAUCUUUGAAAAUUCUUUAACCACUAGAAAGCCAUGUUAUUAGGUAUUUUCACAAGAAUGGCAACUACGUGGAUGAAAGAAACUGCAGGGUGUUUGUAUAUACUAUAUAUAAACUGUAUAUACUAUAUAAAAACUACUAAAUAUAAACAACUAGCAAUGUAUAUUGUAUAUACUAUAUACAUAUAAACUGUCACAAUUAUUUAUACUAAUAUGCUUUGGGUUUUAGGUUUUUCCGCAAUACAAGUGCUUCCUCUAGAAGGCCGGACCAAAUCAGCGAUACUUUAUGAGAAUUAUACAUUCUCGUUCCAAGGCCCAAAGGAUUGCAAGCGAUAUUUGUACUGUUCCAAAAAGAACUCGACCAAGUGCCCAGCUCGCCUUACCCUGGAUAAGAAGGGAGAUCUUGUCCAUGUGAAUACCGCUCAUAAUCAUCCACCGCCAAUGAUGCACCAGUGUUCUAACGGGAAGUAUAUAGUAAUAAAUGUAUAAACAUUUAUAUAAAAAAUUUAAAACAUCGCCUGGAUGUGAAAAAAUGCAUGAAAUUUGGGCUGAUGUAUUUUCAUAUGAUAGCGAUAUUGUAAAAUCAAUAAAGCAGGACAAUGUUAACAGUCGGUUAUCACCAAACAAUCCUACCUUAUGUAUUACAAUGGAUACACAAGCCCACUCCUCUCAGUCUCUUGCGGAAUUAUAUAGGGAUAACAAACCUCGAAAUUAUAAAAAAAACAGAGCAGACGUUAAGAGGAAGCGACUCAAAAAUGAAGGCAAAGAGUUUCUCUCAAAACGAGGAGACAUUGUUAAAGCGAGAGCUAUUGGUGAACCAUGUGAUUGUACACUUAAAUGUUCUGUUAAGUUCCCUCUUGCAGAAAGAAUGGAUUUAUUUAAUAAGUUUUGGGAGUUAGGUGAUAUAGAGAAACAGUGGCAAUAUGUUUUAAAGUAUACCACUAAACUGAAAAAGAAACGAACUCGUCCGGGAAUCUUGAAGUUGAAUCGUCAAUUUACCUACAAGUAUUAUUUUCCAUGUAACUCAACACAAGUGAACGUUUGCAGAACCAUGUUUUUGAACACAUAUUCUAUAAGUGAAACACUAAUAAAGACAGCUUGGGAUAAGUUUGACGGAAACACUUUAGUAAAAAAAGAUAUGAGAGGUAAACACAAAAAUCAUAAAAGGACUAUUGACGAUGAAAUGAUAAAGUCCGUUUGUGAUCACGUUGACACCUUUAUACCUGUAGACUCUCAACAUAAUGGACCCAAAAUACUAUAUCUAGGUAGUGGUUUGAGUGUUUCUCGAAUGUUCAACUUGUAUAAGGAAUGGUCUGGACUUAGUAAUUAUUCGAAUAACGCAUUUACCAUUAGGCAAUACCGAGAUAUUGUUAGUAAUAUAUACGAGAUAAAGAGAAACGAAAAAAAAUAAUGUAAUUUAAAAAAAAAUCUGAUAAUUUAUCAUACUCAUGUUACUUAUAAGAAGUUUACAAUUUCUGAAACUCCAGUCCGGGAAAAAGCUGAUUAUGUACCAGCAGCAUACAUUCUCGUACCAAGGGACACAGAGGUCGAAGUGUUAUCUGUACUGUUCGAAGAAGCACACGACAAAGUGUACGGCCCGUUUGCAGAUGAAUCAGGCAGGCGAUUUGUUGUUGGCUCACACUGAUCAUAAUCACAAGCCACCUAUUUAUAAGAAGUGUUCCGAUGAUAAACGUUAUUUCGAAAUAAUCCUCCAGAAGAGUCCGUUUGGCUUUAAAACGCGGAAGGAGAAACGUAUGUGCACUUUUCGAAAAUCCUGGUUAACUGAGUUCCCAUGGAUAGAGUCGAUGGAGGAGAAAGAGAAGGCUUUUUGCAAGUUGUGCCAACGGGCCAUUAGCAUAGCUCACGGUGGUAUUAACGACAUUGACAAACAUAGGAGAUCCAUGAAGCAUGUAAGAAAAGAGGGAAAAUUUGAUAAUGUAUGACAUUGACAUUACAUUUUGUUAUUAUUCAAAAAAAAAAUUACGAAGUUUUUUAAAACUAGUUGACAGUGAGAUGUUAUGACAUUUAGAUAUAUAUUGUGAUGGGGUGCUUCGAUUAAAAUUAAUAUAUGUACGGAUUACGUUCUCGUAUAAAAUAUGGAUUUUAUAAGCCCUCGAUAAUGCCUAAACCUACAAUAAAAAGUGUUUCAAAUACAAGAAUAUGUUUGCUAAAGUCAGCUUUUCAGUCCGGUUCCAGAAGCUUUAUUAACUGUGCAAGACUCGUAGGUCAUAGGUACUACUAAGAAUUUAAAACUUGGCGGAUCCUUAUUUUUCAAAUUUAAUGGAAUAAUAUAAUAUAAAUAAUAAAAUAAUUAGUAUUAUCGUUAUUUUAUCUUUGUAUUCAAAAACGGGGUAUUUUCGAUAUUAUAUCACCUGACAAGGCGCGGCGUAGCGGAACUAUUUUCGACUUUAUUCCAACGCCAGUAAUGUCACUAACCGUUUAACAGUCACAAUCGUCUUUUAUCCACGUUUCGUCGGCGAGUGUUAGACCUAAGAUAUACUCUUGUAGAAAGAGUGCGUACUCUAACGGGAAUAUGUAGUAACAUCUCACUGGUCAUUGGGUUAUGCUGAUUAGGCCUUAGUAAAUUAAAUAAAGCAUUGUGGACUAAACAAAAGGGUGUCAGGGUAAUGUGAGGUUUUAUUAAGUAAAUUUGUUGUUUUUUAGAAAGUUGAAUAAAAUUUUUAAUGCAUUUACUAAACUUGUUUUUCUACUUUUAUACUUGUUAAAAACAAAUGUAUGUAUGUAAAUAUGUAUGAAAAUUUUUAUUUUAUUGUAUAGGGCACACUACAGUAAAUAAUCCUCUUCAUAAUUGAGCUUAGACCCACUUAUCAGCCGAUAGACGUCCACUGCUGGACAUAUGCCUCUUGCAUGGACCUCCAAGCACUCAGUCAGUCUCGAGCCGCCAGCAUCCAGCGGCUCCCUGCAACCCGCUUGAUAUCUUCGGUCCACCUAGUGGGGGGUCGACCAACACUGCGAUUUCCGGUGCGGGGUUGCCAUUCCAGCACCUUGGGACCCCAAUGUAUACAUAGGCUCUUGGACGCACUUAACCCACUUACACAGAUCCAAUUUUUAUCAUAUCAACGAAUGUUGUUAUACAGUAGAUACGAGUAAAUUGUUGAUGGUCAAAGUAAUAAUUUAUAAUUUAUUUGGUAUUUUUCUUAAUCUUAAAUAACAUUUAUUUGACAUUAUCAGAAUUUGACAUUUUAUUAAUUACUAGUUGUAAAAAUAAAAUCAUAAUAAUAUAAUGUAGAAAUAAAAAAAGAAAUUCUGUAAAAUUGCCAGCAAAGGCAAUUGUAAUAUUGUAGACAACAUUGUAUCUACUCUUAAAUGCGGAUUGACAGACAAACAAAAGGCGUGAUAUAAUAAUAGACCAAAAAAUUAAUGCAAAUGUAAUUUCCAGAAAAACUUCAGUUCCUACCAACAAUAAAGGGUAACAUACCAAUGUAUAAGAAUUAUACAUUUUCGAGCUCGAACAAUAACUCGUUUCGGUGUUCCAGUCGACUCAGGGGCAAAUGCAGAGCUCGCUUAACUAUUGACGGCGAUGGAUACGUUGUCAAGGGCAGGUUUAACCACUGCCAUCCACCGCCCACUUAUUAUAAAACCUCUGACGGAUUAUAUACUAGAAUCCGUAUAAUGGAUGCUAAAUGGCAGUGAGAAAGUGGUACUUGGAAAUUUGCACCGAAUACCGAAUUUCCAAAGAUGUUUUAGUAGGAUCCUACAAAAUGUCAAAACAGUUUUAGUAGGAUUCUUCCAAAUUUCCAAAACUGUUUUAGUAGGAUCCUACCGUAUAUAACUAACAACUAUAUCUAAGUAACUCUCGUCAAAAUCGGUUCAACAUUUUAGGACUAAAAAUAAUUUAUUAUUGCAAAUAUUUCUAUAUUAAAUUUCAUGAAGGUAUUGUCUUUUUUGCAAGAAGGCUUUGCUUUCUACUCUUUUGGACUGUGCUUGUUUUUUUCUUUUCAGUUUUUAAAUUUUAUGCAGUCUGAUUUUUAUUUUUGUAGUAAUUUUUUUUAGUACAUUUUGCUGACCAAACUCAGUACUAAAAAAAGUAUUAUUCAUAUUAAUUAUAUUAAUUCCACUUAAUUAAAUCUUGAUUAUUUUAAGCCAAAAUGUCAACAUUUCAUAGAAAAAGCAUUGAUUGAAAGAUAUUGUUGUUUUUUUUAUUAUAAUAUAUAGAUUAGAUAAGAAAGAAAAAAUAUGAUUGUAGGUAUAGAGUAUUAACUUUCACGUGUUGUGUUUAUCCAGAGAGACUAAGUUUCCUGCCGACGUCUAAGGGUGACUUACCAAUGUUUAAAGGAUAUACGUUUUCCUAUUACAACGGAAAACGAAAUUUACGCUGUUCGAGGAAAGCCUGUGGAAAAUGCAAUGCACGACUGACGGUCGACGACGAAGGUUACAUUGUCAAAGGUCAAUUCCAACACAACCACCCGCCGCCUGUUUACCACAGGACUUCAAACGGUAUCUACGUUAAAGUUGAUUUUGGAAGGGCUUGAUUUUUAUAUUUAAUUAUGUUAUAUUACUAGCGGACGCCCGCGACUUCGUCCGCGUGAAAAUCAAUGAAAACUUUCAACCCCUAUUUCACACCAUUCUUUUUAUAUUUUUGCAAUUUUUUUAUAGUGUAAUAAAUUGUCCACUAAUUUUACGUUUACAAAUGUACCUUGAAAACUGAAAGAAUUUCCAUACAAACUUUCUACCCCUAGUUCACCCCAAUUUGAUUUUAUUUUCGCGACAAAAGUAUCGGACCAGUAAUUUUGAGAUUAGCGCGUUCAAUGAAACAAACAAACAAACUUUUCAGUUUUAUAAUAUUAGUAUAGAUAGUAGUGGACGCCUGCUAUUUCGUCCGCGUGAAAUUCAGUUGUUCAUCCCGCGGGAACCAUGGAUUUUACAAUCAAAUCGAAAUUAGCCUAUGUUUUAAUCCAGGGUAUUUUCUAUCUUCACUUUAAAUUUUAGUCAAAUCGGUUAAGUAGGGGCGGCGUUAAAGAGUAACAAACAUCCAUACAUACUUUCGCGUUUAUAAUAUUAACGUAGGAUUAAAUUAUUAUUUUUUUCGAUGAAGAGGUUCAGCUCAGGGGAGUACCUACCGCCGUAUCAAUAAUACGCCCCCCCCCCCCCCCCCCCCCUCCGGACUACGGACUACGGGCCCCUUACGUAUGCAAGAAAAAAAAAAUUGUUCCCUGUAAAAAAACCAUGUAAAAUUGCCUAUGAGUUUUCAAUUCAGAAAUUAUAGAAAUACUGUAUACAUACUGUGUAUUAUUAUUUAACUAAAUGGACUUAAAUAUUAUUAAAAAUAAUAAUUUUAAAAUGUUUUUCUGUUUUGCUGACGCCCUUUCUGUUUGCACACGCAACCAAUCCUGUCACAUUAACACUACACUAUACUAAUAGCAUUAACAACUGAGUCUUAGGGCCAUAAAUCAUUUCUCUAUAUCUAUCUCGCUUGCACUUAUGGGUCUUAUGGAGCCGUCUAGUGAAGGGUGUAACAAUGAAAGACAUAUUAUCGAUAAGUAAAGUUUAUUAUCGUAUCUUGUUCACAAAAUUAAAAAAAUUAACAAUAUUUGAUUUAAUAUAAUACAUAUUUCAUAUUAUAUAAUUAUUAACUAAAUAAAAUUAAUCUUCAUCUGAGUCUUCAUCAUCAGAAUCUUCGUCUUCUGCCAAAUUUAUUAUAUAUUAGUAUCCAUAGUGCGCAACGAGUAACACAUGAAUGUAUUUAUUUAAUUGCAGUAAACACAUUUAUAGCAAAAAAAAUACGCAAUGCAAUUACAUUAGAAACCGACCAAUCAGAAUCGUCCAAAUCAUUAUUGACUCAUCAUUAGCACGUGCGCAGGUAGCCGUUUAUCGAUAAUUAGGGUGCGCAGGUAGGCGCGCUGCACAUUCCUAUCUUUUUUGACUUUUAUGACCGGACGACUCAGAUGAUAAUGCGCAUACUAUACAUGAGAUGAAAUAACUAUAUCAGUAUAUUUACUGUAUAUUUAUUAUUCGUAUAGUAAAUUCAAUGGCAGUGCAACUGGAAAUGUCACUAUCUCUUUCAUUGCGUUGGGACGAAUGAGAUGGUACUGGGACAGCUCCGCUGCAAUUGGACGAUAUUUUGCCUAUUUCUCUUCACUUGGUCGCAUGUUAGUGUUUACUUUUAUCCAGAAAUAAAUCAUUCAUGGUGAUUUUUUUUGAAUAAGCAAAUAUCAAUUCGAAGAGACUAAAGCUAUGGUCUCUUCAUCUCUUCACGCGGCGUCGGACAUGUAAUCGUAUGAUAAACGUCUACAGUGGUCUUUUGUUCCGUCGCAGUUAGUAUCUGCGGCAUGCCGCUGCGGCGCGCCGCACACCGCAGCGGCGUGCGUCGCGAUCAAGAAACAAUAGCUUAGUAAAUACAAUUUCACACAAAAUAACAUUGUUAUUAACACUUACGGAUUAAGUAUUUGCUUAGACAUGUUUGAUGAAAAUCGGUUGAGUCGUUUAAAAGUUUUGUGGGGUGAAAGUGGGGAUGAAUAACCGGAUGUUUGCGAAUAUACCUACUUGAGUGGAGUCGCAAAUGAAAUAUUAUAAUGAAUAUUGUUCACUUGAUCGAGUUUAAUUAAUAAUUUUAUUCCUAUACUAUACUAUUGCUAAAGUAUUGUAGGUAUUUCAUAGUCCGAAAAUUUGAAUUUUUACAGAAAAACUUCAAUUUCUACAAACGCCAGGAGGACUUAUACCGAUGUUUAGAAAUUAUACGUUCUCAUAUGAACACGGGAAAAGAUAUUUGAAAUGUUCAAGGGGAAAAUGCAAGGCGAGACUUAUAGUAGAUUCUGAAGGGUAUGUCAUUAAAAUAUGUUGCGAGCAUUGCCACUCACCCCCGAUUUACCACCAGACAUCUGACGGGUUUUAUAUCAAAAUUAGUAAUGGAACAUAAAUACGUCAAGUUUUAUACCUCAUUCGCACGAGAGUUAAAAAAGCGAUAACUCAGCGUUGGCGCUUUUAUUAACGUUCUUAAUUUAUUAAUUAAUGUCUGUUUCCAACGCCUAAAAUUGAAAAUGCAACACUAAGCCUUCAUUCGCACGAGAGUUUUUUUUUAACGGACGUUAAAAAAACGUUCAAAUAUAGUAUGAAGUUAAAUGAAGGUCUAUUUACAACGCCCAAAAUUGAAAAUGCAACACAGCUCGAUAAAAAAGCGUCGUGUUUUAAGAACGCUGUCAAGUGAACAUGUACUUGGGCAUGCAUUUGUUGUAUUUCAACGCUUUUUUGACGUCCGUUAAAAAACACUUGUGCGAAUGAGGCUUUAAGGUUAAGUAAGCGGGCGGCUAGCUGUAAUUUCAAUGCUGCUGUUUGAUUGUGAAGAAGAGAAAAUAAAAUACUUUUUCAUUUUAUUUUAUUUAAUGGCAAGUAUUUAUUUGCUUUGUUGUUAAUAUACAUGAAACAAUUAAUUGUAUUUCUUUUAGUAUUUAAACUGAUAGUUAUUAUUUAAAAUUAUCUUAGUGAAUAAAUAUCACGUCUCAAGCGGCGAAGGAAAACAUCGUGAGGGAACCUGCGUACCUGAGAAUUUUCUUAUUUAUCUAUGUGUGUGAAGUCUGCCAAUCCGCAUUGGGCCAGUGUGGUGAAAGGCCUAACCCGUUGACACUCGUGCUCAACAGUGAGUCGAUUAUGGGUUGUUAAACCCCUCCCGCCCCCCACCCCCCUAGUUGAUUUAGCUUGAACUGGGUCGUUGAUUCCGUGAUAAAUCAAAAGUUCAAGUAUAAUAAUAAUAGUUGUAAAAUAAAUUUAUCCAUAUCUAUAUAUCCAUUCUCACGUGCGUUUUUUUAACGGGCGUUAAAAAAGCGUUCAAAUAUAGUAUGAAGUUAAAUAUAGGUCUAUUUCCAAUGCCCAAAAUUUAAAAUACAACACAGCUCGAAAAAAGCGUGUGAACAUAUACUUGGGAAUCGCUCGUGCGAAUGGAGGCUUACGUUAUAUUUGUCCGUGGUGAUAUGUGACCUUUAGGUUUAUUCAAUUGUUUAACAUUGUGAAGUAAAUAAAAGUCUAUUUUGUAACCUUUAGUUUUAUUUUUUUGAAAUACAAGUUUUGCAUCUUUCGCUAUCGUCAUCGUGGUAAUAAAGAAAUUUAAAAAAAUUUAUUGUAUUUCUUUUACUAUAUAUACUGUUUAUUAUUUUAACUCAGUGAUGAACUGUUGUGGUUCCGUGGUUAGCUUAUGUGGUUUUGGAUCAUGAUGUCCUAGAUUCGGUGCUUGGGUCAAGCUAUAUGUAGGACUGAACUGAUCUUUCUUCUAAUCUUUCAGUAACAUUAGCCUGGAGUUUGGAAGUUGGUGGUGUUAAACCCCGUGCCUUGUAGAGUACGUUAAGGCGUCGGUACUGUCAUUAUUUUUAAGAUCUAAUAAUUAUUGUUAAAAUCAUACAGUAUCAGAUUAAGCCCGUCAACAUGCAUUGUAGCAACGUAGUGGGUCUAUGCUCUAUAUCGCAUGGCCGGUCCCUGUAUGCGUCUACAAGGCCAGGCACAGAAUAGAACAGAUACACAAAAAUAUUAAUUUACUUUAUGAGUAAUCUGUGCAAAAAUGACAAGCGUAUCAAAAUUUCAUUAUAUGGAAAACAGGCAAAGAUGCAAAUUCAUUUUCAGAAAGUGUGUUCAAAGUGUGUAGUGGGUCUAUGCUCUAUAUCGCAUGGCCGGUCCCUGUCUGCGUCUACAAGGCCAGGCACAGAACAGAACAGAUACACAAAAAUAUUAAUUUACUUUAUGAGUAAUCUGUGCAAAAAUGACAAGCGUAUCAAAAUUUCAUUAUAUGGAAAACAGGCAAAGAUGCAAAUUCAUUUUCAGAAAGUGUGUCUUCUCGCAAAUGUGUUAUAAAACGUCGUAUGACGUACGUGCGCUUUGAUAAUUACAACAUCUGCUUCUUUACUAAAGCUCUCGCCACGAGCUGCAAUAUCGCCUCGGCUGUGAUUUUCAAUUUACCGCACUUAUAUCAUAAUGUACUAUUAUUAAUGAGUUGUGUGAUUUUUACAGGAAAUCUACAAUUUCUUCCGACCAUCACAGGCUUCAUACCAAUGUUUAAUGAUUACUCAUUCUCUUAUUACAAUGGGAAAAAGAGAUUGCGCUGCUCGAGGAUGUUCCGAGGGAAGUGUCCAGCGAAGUUAUCCGUCGACUCCGAUGGGAGAGUUCUUGCGGGAAUCUUCGACCACAAUCACCCUCCUCCUCUCUUUCAUAAGACCCAUAACGGAUUGUACAUUAAAUUGAAAAAUGGAAAAUAAAAUAUAUAUUGCUAAAAUCUCUCGUAGGUAUUUCUUUUCAAAGUCUCUUCUCAGCAGAACCUUACGAAUUAGUGGUAGAGACUUUAGAAAUUGUCAAACUUGUCAUAUCAAAUCUAUACUAAUAUUAGAAAGCUGAAGAGUUUGUUUGUUUGUUUGAUUGAUUCAUACGGGAACGGGAAACAUGCGGGCGAAACCGCGCUGCGGCGUGGGCUUAUUUGUAACUAGCGGAUGCUCGCGACUUUGUCCGCAUGGAAUUCAGUUUUUGUAUUAUAUAUUAAAUACGUGUAUUUGUUAAUCCAGAGUAAAAAUCUAUUUCACAAACAAGGAACAAACAUAAAUAGUACACUUACACACAAAGUUUCGCCUUUAUAAUAUUAUUGUGAUAAAUGAAUUUUGUUGCUUUUAAUAAGUCGAAUCUUCAUUUGUCUGAAAAUCUUUUAAAUUAUUAAAUAAACAGUUCGAUCUUUUAAAUUAUUAUAUGACCAACCAUGUUUUUUUUUGGGAUAAAAAGUAAAAUUGUACUUGGAGUAAGACUUUUAUUCUCUGAAUCAAUGGAAACCCAUGUUAUUUUUGUUAUUUAGUUGUAAUCUAUGAAAUAUUUUAAUCGUACAAAACCAAUGAAGGCUACAAAACACAGAGAUUAGUUAUAGUUAACUAGUACAUUUAGAAAUAAAUGAAUAAAUACUAUUUUCAGAAAAACUGCAGUAUCUACCAACGGAUAAAGGCCAAGUGCCUAUGUUUAGGCACCACACGUUCUCUUUCUCUGGAAAAAGGUUAUUGUUAUGUUCACGGAGGCUGAGAGGGAAAUGUCCCGCAAAAAUUAUAUUGGACAACGAAGGAUAUGUGGUUGGAGGAGUGUUUGACCAUGUACACCCUCCGCCGGAGUACUUCAAAACCGCGAACGGCAUGUUUGUUAAAAUAAAUUGCGGAAGAAAAUGAAAGAGAUCGUCAUCGUCAUAGUCAAAGUUAUAGUCAUAGUCAUAGUCAUAAUAGUCAUAGUCAUAGUCAUUGUCACCGUCAUAAUCAUGGUCUCGAUCCCUAUUCUUGUGGAUAAAUUGGACUCUCUCGGCAUUAGCGGCAUUUCAUUACAAAUUUUUACCGGUUACUUGACUAACCGCACUCAACAAGUUAAGAUAAGUAACCACCUCAGUGAUGAAGUUAACCUGACCUUUGGUGUUCCUCAGGGCAGCAUCUUAGGCCCUACCCUGUUUCUUAUCUACAUGCACAAUCUAUGCCUCUUAACCAUUUCGAAAGGUGAAAUUGUGUCAUAUGCUGAUGACACAGUCUUACUGUUAACGGGUGAUACCUGGGAGGAUGCCUUGACAAACGCAGAAAAGGCCCUACUACUAAUAUAUUGUAUUUAUGUUUCAUGAUUUCCUUUUUUGUGUUUUGCCAAAUAAAAAUCUUUCUUUUUUUCUUCUUUCAUAGUCAUAGUCAUAGUCUUAGUCAUAGUCAUAGUCAUAGUCAUAGUCAUAGUCAUAGUUAUAGUCAUAGUCAUCGUGACCAUCAACAGUAUUGUCGCUGAUUAUGGACGCAAGAAAACCGCAUCCAUGUAACCAUCUUGAUAUCGCAAUUGGAGGGUCGAUCAACACUGCGCUUUUCGGUGCGAGGUCGUCAUUCCAGGGCCUGUAGCCAUGUGGUACGUAGAUUCUUUUUCUACUAUCGCAAACGCUUCGAAAAUUAAAAAAAAUAUGGGAAUAACAUUUGAGAUCGACAGGUCACGUGAUUAAGUUAUCGUUCAGAUCUGUCAUUCCUAUACAAUUUUUUAGUUUUUGAAGCGUUAACGUUUGUAGAAAGAGAAUCGUCAUGCCACAUGGCUACAGGCCCAGAACCUUGGGACCCUAACGUACGUCGGCUCUUCGAACUAUUAAAAUAUAGCUACGGGUAAUUAAUAAACAAAAAAUAAAAUCGGUCUCCUCACUCACUCGACAAAAUGCUACGCCUAAACUGGGUAGGUAUCCAUAACUUGCAUUAUAUAAUAAAAAUGUAACUUGUAUAAUUAUUAUUAUAUUGUAUAAUGUAAUGUGUGGUAUUGCUUGAUUAUUAAAUUAAAUAAAUAAAUAAAGUUAAUACCUUGUAUGUAAGUUUUCAAAAUUACGAUCAAAAUCUCAUUUGAAUUAUAAAUUUAUUUAAAUUGUAUCUUAUUAGGCUCCUUAAAUAUAAGUAUAAAAAAGUGUGAAAAUAUUUUUUAUUUGAAUAAUAUAAAAAUGUUUUGUUGUUAAAAUUAUUCUUAUCAUUUCUGAUAGAAAUGAAACUGAGUAACAUUUACGGGGUAAUUGCAGAAAAAUUGAUAAUUUUGAACACAUCCCGCGGCGAAGUGUUCAUGUACAGAGGUUACACUUUCUCCUAUUACACCGGCAAGAAGAACCUGCGCUGCUCUAAGAGAAUCAGUAGCAAGUGUAACGCUCGGCUCAGACUCGACGAUGAUGGUUACGUCAUCGGGGGAAUCUUCGAGCACUGCCACCUACCCCCUGUUUAUCACAGAACCACGGAGGGUUUAUUUAUUAAAUUAAACUAAAAUGAAAAAAAAAAAAAAAAAAUCUUUUUUUGACCACUACAAAACUGUAAUUUAGCAUCAUUAUGUAAAUUAAAAAUGCUACACUUGUAACAUAAAAUCUUGAAUUUUUUUUUUGAGGUACGUCUUCUACAUGUAAAGUGGGGAUGAAUUUUUAUUUACUCAUUUAUCUGAUAGUAUGGGGUAAUGUUCGAUAGGUAUUUGAAACAUAUUUUUGUUUGUUAUAAAUGGUUCUGUAAAACACUAUUUUUCGAUUUAAGAAUCAGUUUGUAAAAUAUUGAGGUCUAAAGUGCAUUUUUCAAAAUCUUUUUAUAUCGUUAUAAAUCUCAGAAACGGUGAUCUUAGGAAACAUUGAUAACUUUUUUAUUGACAAUUACACGCUCUACAAAUUUGUGUUUACUAAUUUUAUAAAAAAAACUUACUGUUUUCCUCAAAAUUGCGAAUACCCUAUUUUCGUAACCUGACAUUGAGUAGUAUUUUUUAUGUUUUGACGAAUUAUACCAAUUUUCAGCUUUAUGAGUGAGCUAUUGAUGUAGUCUCGGAUGUCUAAUUUGACUGGAGUGAUAAUUUUAAUGUUACAGAUAAAAUCCAAAUGAUACAAACAAAUCGUGGCAAAGUAUUCAUGUACAGAGGUUAUACUUUUUCGUAUCGUAACGGAAAGAAGGCGCUGUGUUGUUCACGACGUAUAACUAGCAAGUGCACAGCAAAACUGAAACUUGACGACUACGGUUACGUCAUCGAUGGAUGCUUCAAACACAGCCAUCCUCCACCUCUUUACCACAAGACCGCGGAAGGAGUAUUUGUUAAAGUAAAAUAUUAAAAAAAUAUAUACAACUUAGAACCUUCUCCUUUUUGGAAGUCGGUUAAACGAGUGUGACCUCACGACUAAAGCAAAACUUCUUUUGUCUCACCAUCUAUAUGUGUAGUAUUAUCUCCCUCUCAACUUUGCAUCCGUUCGCCUCGCACGAUCACACUUUUCGUAACGCUUGUCACGCAUUCACCAUCUUAUUCAACAAGUUAUAGGUGCGUAAAGAAAUUUUACUUCAAUAAAUAAUAUUAUUGAUAUUAAAAAAAUUGUUCAAGAAACAUGCUUUUAAAUAAAUGCUCUAACAUGUAGGUAUCUGGAAGUUUAUUUUUUCCUAUACGUAACUUAAUCAAAAAUAGUUUUCUGAUUGAUUUAGUUGUAAAAUUUUAGAAUAAUAAUAUUUUAAUAAGCUGUAAAAAUCUGUAAAUGAAAUAUUUUUUCAUAUAGAUUUCGAUUUGGAAGAAAGUGCAAAUAAAUAAAAUUGUAUACUUACAUACGUCUACUGAUUGUUUUCUCAAUAACUACCGACGUACCUACUGAAAAUAGAUUUCUUUUUACUCCAAAGUCAAUAUUUAUUUCGAUUUUAAAUCUACAAUAGCGUUGAUCUGCCUAAGAACAUUCGCGUAUCUAGGAUUACUUCCUACGAUGGCCUGGCCCCCACAAUAAGUUAUUAGUAUCAUAAUAUAAUUCCAUAUCGGUAGUCCAGAAUCCUAGCUAGGGUAGACACGGCAGGGUUAUUAUGUAACUCGGUGUACCAUUCAAACAAUCAGUCACUACAUCGUUUUUCAUCGUAUUUUCGGUUUUGCAACCAUUUAACAUGGUUUUUUCAACGAAAUGACAUAAUUAUCGACAUUUUACGUACUAUGGCAUUAGUCUAUUAGUGGUAGUAGCAAGUAGUAACUUAAUUUUGACGAAAAACUGGUAUUUACUUAAUUUCGUUGAAAUAAUCAUGUUAGACGAUCGCAAAAAAAUCACUGCCACUUUAUCUGAAAUGGCGCAGUUAAUGUUAUUUCUGUGAAAUAAAUAUGUUAGAUGAUAACAAAAACAAAUAUACGAUGAAAAAUGAUGUAGUGACUCAUUGUUUGAAUGGUACACUGCGAUACAUAAUAAGGCCGCAGGUCCAUUCUAGGGUGGGCACAGCCAACCCGGCCCUUCCACUAUAUACGCCUAUGCCUAAGAUGCAGAUUAAUCUCAUUAUAAGGUACUAGCCUACGGUUUCACACGCGUAGUUCCCGUUGCAAAUAUAAUACGGGAUAAAAUAUAGCCUAUGAAACUCAUAAAUAACGUGGCAUUUUACUAGUAAUUUUCAAAAUCAGUUCAGUAGAUCCAGAGAUUAUCUCCUACAACACCACAAAUUAUAUGUAGUAUAAAAAAUGUAUUUGCGGGUAGUGACAAAAAUAUUUUGUUUUUUUUUUUACAGAUUCCGUCUUUCCUGGACCGUUGAAGUUCGUCGAAUCAUUGCGCGGUGGUCGUGUUUUGCAUGUGCUGGGCCACACGUUUCACAAAAUGAACAAGAAGGCGAACUAUUGGCACUGUUCGCAGAGGAUAUACAGGGGGUGUCGCGCCAAAGUCAGGCUAGACCCCAGCGGUACGGAAAUUGUCAUCUGCGAUCUGGAACAUACGCACCCUCCGAAGGACGCUCCGCUCGAAAUAUCAUUUCGUUUAAUUAAAUAAUAAAUAAAUAUUUUCUUUGAAUUCGAGUUCUGUGUGCCUAGUGGUGGUUUUCAAUGUUUUCAUACUGUGACUAUCGCGUAAACGUAAACACAAAUUUCUAAUGCACACCAUUGACGAUCAAUUAUUCUCACGUUUCUGCAGCACCCACGACUAUAACUGAUUGUGUAUUGGUCGCUGCGUGCAUGACGGCUCGACUUAUGAAACGUCUUCGCUGCCGUUUGCGCUGUAGAAACGUUAGAAUAAUUGACCGUCAAUGGCUGACUAGGAAUUGAAACAGUUGUGCAGUAAUGCCACUAGAUGGCGCUGUUUCAAUUCCUUGUAAAUUCGCGUUUACGUUUACGCGAUAUUCAUAAUAUCAAACUGGUACUAGGCACUCUGUUAAAUUUUUUUACUAGCAAAACUUUUGAGUUAAAUACCUAUUAUUUUUUUAUUUUAUUUAGUCAGUGCCUACAUUAGUGACAACAUAAAAGUAAAAAAAAAUCAACAUCCGCUGCAAUGAAUAUACUGAAUACUGCAACAUCUUGGGAUUUCGCCAUGUUGAACAUGGCGAAAUCCCAAAGAUGUUGCAGUUAAAAUAAUUAAGUCGAUUGGAGAUAUCUUAAAAUUUAUUUGAAAAAUUUCGCCCAUACUACACGUUAGUAAGUAUGUGCAAAAUUUACUCACUAAAUAAAAAACUUGUAAAUAUUUUUUCUAACAUCUUAGGUAAAAGUAGUGACGUGCAUAAAUUUUGAAUUCAAAUAUUGAUGUUAUACAAAUUUCGCUUAACUAACUACUAAUGUCGUUGCAGCCAUUCGCCGGUUUUUUAAAGCAAGAAGAAAUCACAAGUACCAAACGCAUGGAAUCAGGAGGAGAAACUGCGUCGGCUGCUACCAGAAGUUGAGGACUACUCUGAACAGACUCGAUGCAAACAACAAAGUGAAAAAAAUCAGAUCGUUUUGCGUUGAAUGUGAGAAAGGAUAUUGCGUUGAAUGUUUUUAUGCCACACACACCAAUCAUUUUUGUUAACCAAAAUCCCUUAAUAAAUUCCAAAUUAUACGUACAAUGAUAUUAUAAGGCCUCAUUCGCACGAGAGCUAUUUUCACGGACGUUAAAAAAACUCUUGUCCGAAUGAGGGCUAAUGCUGCGAUGUAGUUGUAAUGAUAUUUUUCAUGAUAGCGUUCAAAUACAACAAAUGCAUUCCCAAGUAUAUGUUCACGUGACAGCGUUUAUAAAACACGACGCUGUUUAUCGAGCAGUCAUUUUCAAUUUUGGCGCUGGAAAUAGACCUUCAUAUAAUUUCAUACAAUAUUUGAACGCUUUUUCAACGUUCGUUAAUGAAAUUCUCGUGCGAAUAAGGACAUGUUGCGAUGUAGUAGUAAUUAUAUUUUUCAUACAGAAAACUCAAAACUAAGGUUACAAAGGCUUAAGUAAUUAACAUUCGACUUUUAUCGAUGUUUUUUUUUCUCCGCUCUAGCUACUGUUAUCAACAUUCCUGUAAAAAUACUUAUGACUUUGUUAAGAAAAUUAUGAUGAUUUUUUCUAUUACGUAAUGGUAAAAUUUAGAUAAUUAGGUAUAUCGCAAAAAAGACUAUGGUUGGUAAUAAAUAAUUAAAUACGUAAUUAAAUAAAUAGCAAACCAAGCCAAAUCUUCAUUUUUUGUUAAAAAAAAUGUAUAUAUUUAGGUAAUUCUAUCUAUAACGAGAGUAGAAAUUCAAGAUAAUUCAGUAAAAUUAUACAAUAGGUAAUAAUGUAAAUAAUGUGUUUGUAUAUUUUGAAAAUUUAAUUGUGAUUUUGUGACCUGUUCUCAACGUACUGAAAUAUGACAACAUUUUAUAAUUUUGAUUAUAAAUUGAAUUUAUUUUGCAUUUCGGUUGGUGUAAUAAAAUAAUGGCUUAGGUAGGUACUUUGCUUGUUUAUUGCUGGGGGGGUUUCUGAUGUAGUUAGGUAUUGAUGUUUAACCGAAAGGUUUUGUGUGCGAGUCCCAAACUGGGCUAGUUUGGACCAGUUUAGGAUUUCAUGUCUUAGACUACAGACUAAAGAAUGAUACAGAAUGAGUCUAUACAAGCAACGCGAUGAGGCCGGUGAAACCCAUAAAAAACAAACGUCACGCGUCUUCUUGACAUCUGCAUAUAUCUAAAAACUUUUUUUAAAAUUUGUAUUUCAAGAUUUAACAUUUACAACAAUUACAACAAUCAUUAAAUUGACAUCAUAAUAGACUUACCUUACCUUACCUUGUCAGCCGAUAGAUGUCCACUGCUGGACAUAGCCCUCUUGCACGGACCUCCAAGCACAACGGUCUCGAGCCGACAGCAACCAGUAACUGCCUGCAACCCGCUUGAUAUCCUUGGUCCACCUAGUGGGGGGUCGACCAACACUGCGCUUUCCGGUGCGGGGUCGUCAUUCCAGCACUUUGGGACUCCAACGUCCAUCGGCUCUUCGAACUAUGUGGCCUGCCCAUUGCCACUUCAGCUUCACAACUCUCUGAGCUAUGUCAGUGACUUUGGUUCGUCUGCGGAUCUCCUCAUUCCUGAUUCGAUCACGUAGAGAAACUCCAAGCAUAGCUCGCACCAUCGCUCGCUAAGUGACUUUGAGCCUUCUAAUAAGGCCCAUAGUCAGCGAUUAAGUGUCGGAUCCGUAGGUCAUCACUGGCAACACGCACUGUUCGAAGACUUUCGUCUUUCGUCUUCAUAAUAGACUAAUAAUCAAUAAUUACCUAUAAAUAUACUCCAUCUUAUUUUUUUAGUUCUUGUAAGCAAUUUUUUAAAUAUUAAAAAAAAAUUACUUACUGCUGCGACGCUUCAUGUUGUAUUGACUUGAGAAUGCAUCCCUGCCGUGUUCUGUACGCUCUAUCUGCCUAUUAUUCUUUAAUCUGUAUCUUAAACUAAAUUAUUCUCUUCGGUUUGGUCGAGUACUUGGUGGAUUUGGCCGUGCCUUCAAUAUAAUUCUGCGUAGACAUCAAUCAGAAAUAUUGUUUGAAUAAAUUGAACUUUUGAAUAAAGUACCUAAGUAGUAGACUUCAUUGUCACUUCAUAUCAAAUGAAAACACGGUCAAGCGCUGGCAAUUAAUGAACAAGUUACAAUUUCAAAAAUGCAAAGAACCAUCGCGUAAUGUAUUUAGUCAGAAUAACCACUUUUAUAUCAAUAUGUUUUUGAGUCAGGGGCAGACAGGCAGACACGUGAUUAAGGAAGUGGUUCAUAGUCUAAUUGGGCGAAUUAAGCGUGGUUGACUCUACUCCACUUCUCUUCAAAAAAUUAAAAACAGUUCUUCUGAACAGCACUUGCGGACUGUUUCUAUUUUUUUGCUGAGAAGUAUACUUAUUAGUAGGUACAUUCGUCUCUCUGUAUGUGUUGCUUAAAUUAUAAAUAAAUGUCUCCGCAACGUGUAACUUAUUGCUAUAACGCCAUAUUUUUGUGAUAAAUAAAUAAAAAAUAUCGAAAAAUAAAUAAUAUGUCGACGUUUUUAAGUAGUAUUGAUAUGUGUAUAUUUAACAUUCCAAUACAUAUCGAUAUUAUUAAUUACCUUUAAAAUUAAGUGAAAAAAAAUCAGUAAUUCAAAGCGAAAAUGGUUUUAAAAAUACAUCGAAAUUAUAUCGAUGAUAUUUUGUCUAAAAUAUUGAUCAAUAUAUCGAUAUUUUUUACCUAAUCUCAAUGGUAAACACAUCUAAAUGGAAAAAUUUGAUUAUGAUAGUAUGAAAUGAAAUAUGUAAUUCAGUUGUAUUUGUAAAGUGUGUAAAGAUGUUCUCAUUAUAUCAGUAAAACGAUAUUUAAAAGACAAAAUAAUAAUAAUAAUUUAUGUCUAAUAUAUAAAAUGAUUUUUCUUUGCUUCUGUACCUCUAUACUAUUACUAUUUAUAUAAUUAAUUAAAUAAUUUUAGAGUAUUUGUUAGGUUUAAAUAAGGAAGGUUACACAGUAGCGUAUGUUCAACGUAUAAGCAGCGCGUUUGCAAAGCGUUUGUAAAACGUUUACCUAUAUAGGACAUUUUUUUAGUCAUACAGUUUUUAUCAAAAGUUGCGUAGUUUGUUAAAAUAGAGAUCUUUAUUUCCCAAUGUUUUGGAUUAGUAAAUUUUUGUAGUGGCCGGUAAAUUACCAUCAGGCAUAAAGAUUAUCUUUAUUUUGCCGACGCCCGAUGGUUUCAACAGCGUAAUUCGCGUUACCGUGAAAAUACGGGGAUAAAAUAUAACCUAUGACAAACACAAGUAACGUGGCUUUGUAGCAGUAAAAGAAUUUUCAAAAUCGGUUCAGUUGAUCCAGAGAUUACCCCCUACAACAUCACAAACGUACGUAGUUACCUCUUUAAAAUAUGACUAGCAGACGCCCCGCGGAUUCACUCGCGUAGCUGCCGUUUCUUGGGUAGUGUAUGGCAGAACGAGGAAGGUAUAUCUUUCAGAGCGUCUCCAUUGAGACUCGCCACCUUUUCAAUUGUCCAGCUAGCCUAUUUACUAUUUUAGCCUUUGUUACAGAUUGUGAUUUUGUUACCUAUUAAAAUAAACAUCAAAUCAAUUGACGAAAUGUCAUCUACCUACUGAUGAUAUUCACCAGUUAGCACGGCAUGACAUUUGUUACAUAUAACCUCUAUUUCGUAUAUGUCAAUUGGCAUAUAGCAAAUAUAUUGAAUUAGCCUUCAGACUGACGAUGGCUUAGAAUUUGUUACUAAUUGCUUCUGUUCUUUCAGAUCUGAAGUUCCACUUCAUAACGACAAUGCACGGGUGCCCGCUGGUAUUCUUGAACAACAACACUUUCUUCAGGUUGAACGGCACCUGGUAUUGCUCUAAACGAUCGUCGAAGAAAUGCAGCGCCAAACUGAAGCUAGACAAGGACAGGAAGAAGAUCAUAAAGUGCUCUCUUGAACAUAACCACGACCCGACAUAUAUGUCUUUCUAAAACGUUUAUACGAUCUGAGGUCUUGUUCAGUUUUUUAUUAAGGCUCACUGCAUCGUUCACGUGAAAUUGUGUUUUUUUCCGUACAUUCGUUUUUCAUAAAACAAAACUAUGUGUUACUUCGUUAUAGAUUAAAUGAAACUCACGAAAUUUGUGAAAAUCAGUUGAGUAGAGGACACACAAAAAUUUCAAUAGUUUUUGCUUGUGUUCUGUUGUUCUUCUUUUAUCCCCUCAAUUAAAUGUUUUGCUUUUUAUUCCAAGUACUGAUCUUCGAUUUUUAUUCGAUUACAUCUACAGAUGUAUACUUAGUACUUAGAUUUAUAAAUGUCACUUGUAAACAUUUAAUUGCAAUCGAUGUUAAUAGUAAUAAUUACUCUAUGAUAACACUUUUACUAUGCUAACCAAAGAUAUCAUACUAGUCGUCGUCUUAAAUAUAUAUUUAAUGGUUAUCUUGAACUUUAAAUAAUUUUGAUAGUUAUCUUAAACUUAAACUUUAAUCCACUGAGAUUAGCCCGAAUAAACGGGGAAUUCCAAUCUAAAAAUAAAUUUCUUAGGUAAAUAAGAAAUUCAUUUUUAGAUAAUCGUAUUGUAAUUUCUAGUCAUCAAUACUCAAUUUAUAUUAAGCACUGAUAAGUGUGUCAUAUAAGUAGGUACUUAAUGUAUAUGUUACCGUUAAAUUGUAAAAUACGUUAGUUUAUAAUCUCACUCGCGAUAUUGUAAUCUGUCGAUAUAUUGUAAACUGAACAUAUUGAUUACAAUUUAACGUGUUAUUCGAUAGAUUAAAUUUUCAAGACGAUACUUAAGCGGUAUUUACUCGUAGUUGUAAGCGUCUCGCGUUUUAAAAGCACUGCUUUUAUCGUAACGUAUAGUGGUAAUUCAAUUUUAAAUAAUUAAGCACGAAUUCUUUUCUAAUUCACACUUAUUGUUAUAUUGAAGUCAUAACUAAGCACGUACUCGUACUAAAGUGUGGUAUUAUCUAUGUGUGAAAAAUGCCCGUCGAAGUUUAUUAACAAAACUAUUGGUUUUAUCCAAGUAGUUCAUUUUAAUAGAGAAUCGGGGCGAUAAUGUACUCGAUACCUUGGAGGAUAGGAGCGCUAGUACGUAAUUUAUUGGAUGUCUGUAAACUUUAAUAUAAUCAAAAUAAUCUUUACUAUAGAGGACCGGAACACUUGUAUGUAAUUUAAUGGAUGUCUGUAAACUGUAUUGUCAUCAAAAUAAUCUUUGCAUAGAGGAUCCGAACACUAGUAAGUAAUAUAAUGGAUGUCUGUAAACUUUAUUAUAAUAAUCAAAAUAAUCUUUACAUAGAGGACCGGAACAUCAUCAUAUCAGCCGAUGGACGUCCACUGCAGGACAUAGGCCUUUUGUAGGGACUUCCAAACAUCACGAUACUGAGCCAUCUGCUUUCAGCGAAUCCCUGCGACUCGCUUGAUGUCGUCAGUCCACCUGGUGGGGGGUCGGCCAACACUGCGCUUACUAGUGCGGGGUCACCAUUCCAGCACUUUAGGACCCCAACGUCCAUCGGCUCUUCGAACUAUGUGCCCCGCCCAUUGCCACUUCAGCUUCGCAACUCGUUAAUAAUAGCGAAUUGGGGCGAUAAUAUAAUCGAUACUUUAGAGGAUCGGAGCACUAGUAAGUAAUUUAAUGGAUGUCUGUAAACUGUAUUAUCAUGAAAGUAAUAUUUGCAUAGAGGAUCCGAACACAAGUAAGUAACAUAAUGAAUGUCUGUAAACUUCAUUAUAAUCAAAAUACUCUUUGCAUAGAGGACCGGAACACUAGUAAGUAAUUUUAUGGAUGUCUGUAACUUUUAUUAUAAUCGUACCAUAGAGGAUCCGAAUACAAGUACGUACUCGUAAUUUUAUUGGUAUAUGUAACCUUUAUUAUAAUCAAAAUACUCUUUACCAUAGAGAAUCGGAGCACUAGUACCUACAUACGUGAUUAAAAGGAUAACUGUAACUUUUAUUAUUAUUCAGAUACUAGUGUUAACGUAGAGGAACGAUUGAUAUCUAUAACAUUUUUUCAUGACAUUACUCGAUUUAAUAAAGCUGUAUAGAUUUAUAUCAUAUUACAAGUUUAUAAAUACUUACUUACUGGCACUUUUGAAUCGGUAUUAAGUGGCUUUUUUCGUACUUUUAAGGCUAGGUGCGCUAUUUAAUAUAGGCAGUGGAAUAGUGUACCAAACAGUUUUAUAUUGUAAGCUACCGAUUUUUCGCCGCUUCAGAGACUUUGAACAACAAGACGGAGGUCCUGGGUUCGAUCCCCGGCAGGGCCGAUUGCGGUUUUCUUAAUUGGUCCAGGUCUGGCUGGUGGGAGACUUUGGCUGUGGCAUGUUACCACCCUUCCGGCAAAGACGUACCGCCAAGCGAUUUAGCGUUCUGGUACAAUGUUGUGUAGAAACCGAAAGGGGAGUACAUUUUCAUCCUACUCCUAACAAGUUAGCUCGCUUCCAUCUUAGAUUGCAUCAUCACUAACCAUCAGGUUAGAUUGUAGUCAAGGGCUAACUUGUAAAAUAUGAAAAAAAGGAUCUUGGCCGCCCCGCGAAAAACUCGCCUGUCACCACUCGUCCGAUAUUCGAAUAGGAUUCUGUAUCGCUAUUCAGUAACGAUGUUUUUAUAACUCGACGGAGUGAGUUUCGAAUUCGGCUCUAUCUCAUUUUAUCCAUAGUACAUCGCAACUGAUUCAAAAGUGCUGUAAAAAUACGUAAAAUGCAUUUUUUGCUUGUCUUAAUAUAUCCACUCGUAAUAUAUACAUUUUGCUAUAUUUAUUAUUUAUAUUGAAAUUAUACGUAGGAAAUUUUUCAAUAAUCUUGGUGUUGUUCAUGUGAUUGUCCAUAAAAAAAUAAUGUUUAAAUUUAACUGUCUUUCUUUAAAUUACCUAUUAGAAGUUUGUUAUGUAAUUACCUUUAAAUAGUUGAUAAAUUAUAUUCUGGCAAUGUAUAUAGAAAGCCGUGAUAGCCCAGUGGAUAUGACCUCUGCCUCCGAUUCUGGAGGGCGUAGGUUCGAAUCCGGUCCGGGGCUUGCACCUCCAACUUUUCAGUUAUGUGCAUUUUAAGAAAUUAAAUAUCACAUCAUGUGAAAAUAUCACAUGUCUCUAACCGUGAUCGAAAACAUCGUGAGGAAACCUGCACACCAGAGAAUUUUCUUCGGAGGCUUCGGCUGUGGCUAGCUACCACCCUACCGCCAAAGGAUUCAGCGUUCUGGUACGAUGUCGUGUAGAAACUGAAAGGGGUGUGGAUUUUCAUCCUCUUCCUAACAAGUUAGUCCGUUUCAAUGUUAGAUUGCAUCAUCACUUAACAUCAGGUGAGGUUGUAGUCAAGGGCUAACUUGUAAAGAUAAAAAAAAAAUAUAAAAUUGUCCUUUAGUCUACUCAAAGGACAAUUUUGUAUAUUUUUAAUUUUUUUUAUUAUCUAAUUUGCACCUUUUUCAAGGAAACCCGCUUCAAUCUUAGACUGCAUGGACAAAUAACAUCAGGUGCAGUGGCGUGCACUUCAUAGAUGCAUAAAAGCAAUGCCCACCCAAACAACUCGAUACAAACCUAUGUUGGACCACUGAAUACAUAGUCGGCCAAGCAAUUUUUAAAUUUUUACUUAUAGUGCAUACCCUGGUUAAAAACAUUAUGCACGCCACUGAUCAGAUGAGAUCUUAGUAAAGGGCUAAUUUGUCAAAAAAAUUAACUCGGAAGUCUUUUAACUGUUAUCUAUAUUAAUAUUAUAAAGUUGAAGAGUUUUUUGUUUGAUUGAACGCGCUAAUCUCAGGAACUACUGUUCUAAUUUGAAAAAUUCUUUCAGUAUUAGCCCAUAUAUUGAGGAAGGCUAUAGGCUAUGUAAUAUCUUCGUAUUCGUAAGGGAACGGGAACCACGCGGGUGAAACUACGCGGAGGCAGCUAGUUCAGAAUAUAAGUAAAGUUUGACGUUUACGUUUCAGAGUCCAUCUUAGAUGUGCCCUUUGAGUUCAUCAACAUAGCCAAGAUGAGGAAACCGUUGCUGCGCAUCAAGCACUAUACAUUCACUCAGACCACGAACGACAAACGCUACUGGAACUGCAGCAGGAAGUUGUGCCAGGAGAAGUGCCCCGCAAGAGUACGCUUCGAUUAUCAAGGACAGUUGGUGUUUCUUUUUUUAGAACACAACCAUUCGCCGCCGCUGUUAUACAAGCGACAAGAUGGAUUGUACGUCAGGAUUAGGAAUUAAGUUUAAUAGAUAAUACACGGCGACGACCGUGACUAGUGGUCGCAACGAACAGCGACCACGGCAUAGUCAUGGCCGCGUAGUGCGCGUGGUCAUCAAGGCAGCUACCGAUUAAUGCUAACGACGUUGAACAUUAAUUUGGUUGUGUUUUGACGGCAAUCUUUUUGUGUGUAUUUUUUUCAUCUUGUUGGUUAUUUAACGUGUUCAAAAUCUAAAUAGUUACUUUGUUACAAGAUUUUUAACCUAUAAUUAACCUAUUAUAUUGUGAAUUAACAAAACAUGAUGAAAUUAAACAUAUUUUUAAUGUGAUUUAAAAACAAAGUAAAGGAGGUAAAGGUAAAAAUAUAAAAGACGUAACUGAAGUUCUGAAAAUUUUAUGGUUUUUGUUUUUAGACUUUUGUGACUUUUUGCCUCCUAGAAAACGAGACUAAUAUGAGAUUAAUUACAUUAAUUUAGGUAUAUAGGUAGGUAAUAGUGAAAGUAUAUAAUAAUGUUUUAACACAAAUGCUUGUUCACAAAUAUAUUUUAAAUAUUUUAGACUUAUUUGCGUUUAUGAUUCACGUUUUCGAAUGAGUUUUAAACUGUUUAUCCUAUCAUGUAGUAUUAAUAGCUUUAUUUUAUACAUUAUACGUCUAAUUUUUAGUAUUUUAUGUAAAAUUACAAUAAAGUUUUACUUUUUCUAUUUAAGCUAUUUUCGUUUAAGUUAUAAGCUCCUACGUAGGUGUCCGACUCGACACCCAGAGGUCUUGGAUUCGAUCCCCGCCCGCUGGACUAUAGUCGUACCUACCUACAUCUAAUACUCAGUCUAACAGAAGGGGAACGGGUAAAUUAGUCAAAGAAAAAAAAAAAGCUAAAACAAAAAACAUUUGUCCUUAUCUCAAUCGAUGGACGUCCACCACUGGACACUAAGGACAACAGUAGACGGACAUCCUUAUUUUUAAAGGCCCUUCCAAACCUACCGGCCUUAGCCGCACUUUAUAAAAGUGUAUUUUUGCAAAGAGGAACAUUUGCAAAGAGGAUAUCCAAAGUAGUAGUCACUCGAUGUCUUCCUAAUCGUAAAAAAAUAAAUUCAUUUCUAUCUCUCUAUCUACAGUAUCGUGUGAGACAGUGAGAGAUAGUGACGAAUCCAAAACUCACAUUGUCGAGUUAUAAAAACAUCGUUACAAAAUAGCGUUACUGUUCUUUUUUUAUGACUCGACAGUGUGAGUUUCAAAUUCUUCUCUCUAUAACUAAGUAUAGUAUCGUGUUAGACGACGAGCGACGUAGUCAAAUCAGAUUCCGAUUCGUCAUUUCUCUGAGUUAUGUGUCUCUUACUGCGACUACUUUUUUCCUUCAUUACUUUGUUAACAGUUCAACUGAAACCGGUUGUUAAUUUUUAGGGUUAUAUCGUGCAGCGAACCGACGAAUGUCAAAAUUGAUAAAAAAAUGGGCAAUGGUUGAUGACAAGGACCUCCAGAUACUGGGGUCGACGAGAACCUUCAAUCUGCCCUAUGAAGAGGAAAGUCUCCUUGCGGUGAAGGUGGAACGUCAUCAACCUCCGAUAGUUCCUACAAAUUCGCCCUACAAGUUCAUCAAAGUGAACAACGUGAAACGUCACAUCCUUAUUCUGGGAGACUACGCGUUCGCCCAAACAACAUCCGACACGAGGUACUGGAAUUGCAGCAAGAAGUCUUCCCGGAGAAAAUGUUCCGCCAGAGUGCGCUUCGAUACUGCGGGCAAUAUAGUGUACUCUGAUUUACGUCACAACCACUCUCCACAAAGGUUCUGCCAGCAGCCUAAUGGAGAGUACACUAGAAUCAAGUCUUAACCAUUGAUUUGUAUUGAUGUAUGUAUGUUGAUUUAUUGAUUAGAAGCAAGCGUUGUUGUAUGUAAGUCCAUUACGAAUAUAAGAGUAAUUGAUUUAUUUUGUUAUUGUCCGCGAAACACCGACAAGCGAUGACGUCACAAUUGAACGCUGUCGAGUCACGACUCCAGAUUAUGAUCUGGUUUCGCAAAAUAAAAGGAAUUAUCUGUCAGCUGGCCUAUUCACUAUUUGGGUCUUAUCAACCUAUUAAAAUAAAUAUCAAAUUAAUUGACAAAAUGUCAUUUACUUACUGUGUGUAUAAUAUCCACCAGUAAGCACCGGAUGACGUUUUUACAUAGAAUCUCAAUUUCGUAUAUGUCAAUUGUCUAGCAUACGUCAAAUGUAGUGAAUUAGCCUACAAAUAGAUCUGGGUGAAGUUUUCGCUUGAAUUCUUCGAUACACGGUUCACAGAGAAUAACAAAAUAAAAUUAAUUAUUUUGUAAGCAAGUAAUGUAUGAAAAAUAAUAAUGAAGCGGUGAUGUCCCCAUGCAGCAAACCUUCAUGCUAGCCACCCACCAUUUGACUUGAAAUCCGAUAAAACUGAUCGUGUGUUGGUCGCGAUCUGCUUUAUGUCAUGCACAUCGCGACCAACGCAUGGAUGGUGGGUGGCUAGCAUUAUGCAUUGAACCCGACUUCAGUGAGUAGAAAAAUCUAGAAAUUUGAGAAAUUAACAUACUACAUACACAUGUAAUACUAUUCUCAAGGUGCGGUGUGGGGGUAAUAGUGGUAAAAGAAUUGAUAAAGUUCUUUGCUUGUUCCUUAUGUGUAUGGUUACUCAUUUGUAAUAUUUUGUAUUUCAGAUGUUUUAGUAAUAACAAUAAAUAAAUUAGUUGUGUUUCUUAUGCAAGUAACACAAAUUGUUAAUUUAUAUAAAGCUUUAGUAACUUCACGGUUUAUAUAAAGCUUUAGGUACACACUAUCAGGGAAGGCAUUUCGUUAAGUUGAAUAGCGAACAUACCUAUAUCAUAAUAAUACAUGUUAAAUAUUUGAUAGUGCUAUUAAUUACUAAAAUAAACAUAGUAAUGUAUCUAUAUUAUAGGAUUAGGUAUUUGUUUAAAAGGUUAUCGCUAGAGAAAGCGCGCGAUUCUUUUUGGGAAAAAUUCAGCUGUUCACUAAUUCUAUUAUAUUCUUUUUUUUGUGAGGUAAAAAGUAGCCUUAUGUCAUAAUAAGAUAAGAUAUAGUCUCCAUUGGACACAGCCUAAUCGAGUUACACACACACACAAACUUUCGCUUUAGUAAUAUUAGUGUGAAUUUUAAACUGUUUCAAUCAUUGUAUAUCCUAUAGGGCAUGUUCGGGUCGAAUACGAAGGUAAAUACACUGUAUUUUAUAUUUAGGAGUAUGUACUGUACAUUAGGGUGUCCCAGGCUAUAAGGGAGAAAUUUUUUUUUUCGAAUUUCAAAACGCAUACCCUUUAUUUUUAACCGACUUCCAACCGUUUUUUUUUUUUUUUUCCAUUUGACUCCAAAAACUUAAAUAUUGAAUAUUAUUGAGAUCGGAUAACGAUAACCCGUGCCGACUUGACGACAAAGAUUAGGUUGAAAUGUUAGUAUGGAGCUAUAGGGACAUAGUAGAGUUCCUUAAUUUAUAUUCAGUAAAUAAUACACAUUUAUAUUAUUUAUUAAGUAUUUAAAGUAAAAUACACAUUAAUCAUUAAAUCUUUUCAAAUUUUACUUUUAUACAAUUAUGAUAUACGUUUCCAUUUAUCUUGUAAUAAUAAUUGCUUUUGCUCCUAUAACAUUGAUCAAACCAUGAAAGUUUUUCAUUAAUUUAACCGCUAUUUCUGCUGAAACAUGUCUCUCAGUGGCAAUAGCUUCCUUUUAUCUUGUUGGAACGAAUCAUCAUUUGACCAUAAAGAAGGACUGACAUCAAUUUUGUAACUAAGUAUGCAAAACUUUAUUUUUAAAUGUUUUGAGACCAUUCAAACAAAAUAAUGCAUUAAAAAAAUAUCACUUUGAUUUUUUUGGGACACCCUACUGUACAUACAUAUAAGGUUGUAUGUUGGUGGUUUGAUUGGGAAGUUUUUUUUUAUAAAAUAUUCCUUGCUUCUUACUACGUGACUCGGCAGAGGUCCUACUGCUUGUCGUUGUAACUGUAACUAUUUAAAAAAAAACACAAAAAUUAAUAGUACAUCAGUAUACAGUUAUAGCUUUAAUUUUAAGAUUAAAACAUUUUUAUCACAAUAUAAACUUUAUAAUUAAUGUAAAAUUAAAUUAAGUAUCUUUAAGUUUUUGAAUUGAUUUUAUUCAAUAGUAAUAAAAUUGAUUUUAUCUCACUUAACUUAUAUUAAUUAAAAUAAUUCCGAUGUAUGAAAAAAUUCUAGAAAUCCUGAUAAAAUUACCAAUGUCGACUUUUUCCAAAUUAUGUUUUCUCCUAAAAAUUUCUUUUUUUAUACAUCAAUCAGCUUUACUGUUUAAAAUAGUUUUAGCAAGACUAACAGAUAUCAAUUUUUUUUUAGAUAAUAUUUUCUAGUCAUCAAUUGUCGUAAUUAAUAAUAAUAUCUGGGUGAUCGGUAUUGUUUUAAUAUGUGAUUUUUUUGGAAAUAACGAAUUUAAGCGGGUAUAGCUUGUGUUUGUCGCCUAUAGGUGAUAGCUUAUUGGUUGCUUGCGUAACUAUAUUAGCUAAUGGGGUGAAGUUGUAAAGUUUAAUAAAUCAAAGCAAAGCUUGACUGGAUAGUAAAUGGUGGUAGGUCUUAGAUCUUUGUUUUCAAGGAAAUAUAAAAUGUUUUAUAAUUUCGAUAUUCUAUAAUUUUACUUGAAAAUAUGCAUUUAAAUAACGAAAACCUUAUCCAAUUUAGUUCUUGAGAAACCGCGGCUAUAAGAUACUGAGACGAUCUUGGCAUACAAUGGAUUCACCAUGCGGGUGCUAGGUCCAUUGUGUGGCACAGAGAAAAACUCCGAGCAGAGCAGAGGCUCCGGACUUGUGACCGAUGGUGUAGGGUUAAGGACGUCCUUGACAGUUAAUUAACACUCCCCUUCUCCGCUCGUGUUUUUCUCCCUACCUAGCCAAAGGAGAUGGUCCAAAACUGUAUGGAGCCCAAAAUCAGCCCAGUUUGUAUGUACCCUGGCGGAAAUAAAAGAAAAUAUAUUUUUAACUAUUUUUGAUUAUACAAAUCUACGAAUUUACUUUAAUUCUUUGAUGCAACACUAAUAUGGGUAAUAAUAGCGGACUGAUGACGUUGAAUGCAGUAGUCGAUUUGACGUUUGCUAUCAAUUGUUGCUUUAAGAGCGCCAUCUUGAUGUAUCUCAAAAACUUGAUUUUUAAUUUUAAGUAUUUCUUUUUAUUUAGUUACAUUUAUUCACUUAUUAAGAUUUUAAUAAAACCCUUGUAUUCUUUAAAUUUUAAUGAUACGGGGUACAAGAGUGGACCUCAAAUGGCCCAUUUCCUUUGGUAAGAUCGCUUUUCUGAUAUUUUAUUCGAAACAUAUACUGAAGUAUUUUAUCAACAAAAUAAAUCGUUUUUCUCCCAAAUGAAAAAGCUAUUAUCUUCGCUUUCAUUGUCACUUACAUCUAGUAAGACAGCAGUCAAGUAAAUUUGUCGAUGACAAAAAAUAACUUUAUUCAUACGUAGUGUUACGUUAUUUAGUAGGUAUUUAAAUAUUAUAUUCAAUAUAUGAAAAUAUAUUAAUAUACAUUAUUGAUAUACAUUAAAAAAAUCUUAGUUAUAAAUAAACAUUUUAUUCUUAUAAAAUUCUUAGUCAGAAUAUUGUAAAAACAUGAUUUUUGUAAUUUGUAACUAAUUAAUGUGUAAUGAAUAAUAAUAAAAGAACAUAGAGAUAUU